Molecule: long non-coding RNA, 1646 nt
Filed under: Helianthus annuus (common sunflower)
Lineage: Eukaryota; Viridiplantae; Streptophyta; Magnoliopsida; Asterales; Asteraceae
Description: hypothetical non coding rna
Source: RNAcentral
AUGAAGCAGAGGUUAUUGGACACUUGUCACUCUAUAAAUCCUUCUUACACUUCUUACAAUUAGGAUCCUUUGUAUUUGAUCCUAAUCCUUUGUUUUAUAUAUAGGGUUAGGGUAAAACGAAAACUCUUACGAGUUGUGAGAACUUAGAAAACUCAGCCUUACAAAAGGUUUUUUUUUUUUUAAUUACCAAAAAUCCUAAAAGAAAAUUCAACUUUUCCCAAAAAAAAAAUUAUCGAUUUACACCACCCGUAAAAAACGCUUACUGGUGGUGUAAAUGCUGAUUCAUGCUGAUGUCAGCAGCGUAAAAAGGCUGAAAACGCCACUUCGAUUUUUUUUACAGUUGUGUUUGUAACAUUUUAAUCUACGCGUGUGCAAAAAAUGGGGGCAAAACUCGACGGGAAGUUGGAGUUCUCUAAGUUCUCACAACUCAAGGGGAUUUUCUCUUGAUCUUAAUCCUAGAUGUGUGUAUAUAUAUGUAUUAUAUACCUUCACACGGAAAUUCUCAUAUAUAGGAUGUCGGGUAGCUGCUUUAACUCCGUAUGAACGCUUCUUAUCAAUCACUGUUACGGGAUCGUUGUGGUGAUCAUAUUUGGUCAAAAAUGCUUCGCCGGUCAUUGUAUCCGGAAGAUUCUUGGAAUAUAUAGCUUCAAAUCUAAAGGAUAUGGACAAAACAAUGAAAUCCGCCCUAAAAUGUUAAUUUAUAUUUAUAUAAAAAUAUAUGUAUAAUUGUUCACAUACCUGUGGGGAGUGAGAUUGCAUAAAUAAUCUACAGAAGCUUCAUCAUGGAGCAAUUCAAUCCCGUACUCUUCCAACUCAUCAAGAUUAUUUCCGUUUCCAUUUGAAUAUGAAGAUGACAUGGCCGAAGCGGUGGAUUUAAUCAUUUUUCUACCCAUAAAGGCUCCUAUUCUCACUGAUCCAUAGUCAGCACCCCCGAUACUGUGGAUCAGCAGUAACUUAAUGAUUAGCAAGUAUAAGUGGCAAUUUUGAUUCAAUUACUUAUGAACGGGUUGAUUCAGGUUAUGUUUUAUCUAUAACGGGUCAAACGGGUAGAAACAUAAAAUUUAGCUUGAACGGAAUUGGGAUGUUGGUCGCCAAAAGUGUAUUUAUAAUGCAUGAAACCUCCUAAAUCAUUAUAUUCAAUGAAUUAUAUAUAACUGAAACUAGUAUUAAGCCUCUGCAUUGCAGCGGUUGUCAUAAAACUGUGUUAAUUAGUAGCAAUACUAUACCAUUGUCAGCGACCAUCAACACCGAAAAAGCUCGUAAAAAAAUUAAAUAAAAACGGGAAAAGAAAACACCGAUUGAAAAGCAGACGUAAAAUCUUUGAAUCACACACACUCGUUACUGAGAAAUUAAACCGAAACGUAAAACACAGAAAAAAAAUAACUAAGUCCAUCCAGGACCCGCGUGUUGGACGAACUUGUUAAACACAGAAAAAUAGAUGUGACGCGACAGGCCAGUCAAACGGCAAAAAAAUAUACGAAAAAUUGUUGAACCUCAUACGCACGUUGCGGCGCGUCAACUCACAAAAUUUAGACAGAAACGAAAAACUUGGGAAAGAUGAAAAGUAUGGUGGACCAAAAUUGAAAACAAAAAAGAGUUGGGACUAAAUUGCAAAAGAUGAAAAACUUUGGGUUAAAAGUAAAAAA